This 21-nucleotide non-coding RNA is filed under the name Caenorhabditis elegans. The record is from RNAcentral. Lineage: Eukaryota; Metazoa; Nematoda; Chromadorea; Rhabditida; Rhabditidae.
UUAGUUAAAAAAUUGUAAUUA